RNAcentral lists this long non-coding RNA (234 nucleotides) under Brassica rapa (field mustard). RNAcentral describes it as "long non-coding RNA (BRAP_LNC008476)". Lineage: Eukaryota; Viridiplantae; Streptophyta; Magnoliopsida; Brassicales; Brassicaceae. The record is from RNAcentral.
UGUUGGUGUGUAAUAUCCAACUUCUGGUGUGUAAUAUCCAGAGACUAAGGGCUCUAGUUUGGUGUGUCAUAUCCAAUCUAUUACCUAGGAGUAUCAAGGAGCCUUUCCGCAGCCUCUUGUGUCACCAUUCGAUCCACAUACCUUGAGAAACUUGAGUCUUUUGAUUCGUUUCUGCAAGGAUUAUCCCAUCUGUUCCAGAGCAUCAUCCUAGGAUUUCAUCAAGUGGUAUCAGAG